GAGAAUUUCAGAAGGUAGUGAACCCAAAGGCGGAUUCUUGGAUAAUUCUACUAUUCUGUACUCUCAUCAUCUUAACCCAUCUGUUUACUACCCUAACCAUAGUUACUAAGCAGAGUUUUAUCAUAAUAAUAUAGACAGCUCUCAAAGUAUCGACAUUCAGAGGGGAUUACAAAUAUUAUUUUUCUAUCAUAUUGACCUACCAUGUCCACAGUCUUCCUUGAAUUACCUUCCAGUUUUACUGGGCUGCAUCUACCGUUUAUGUCUAGUUUGACUUUUUCUGACUUCACCAAUUGCUGCUAGGAAUGUGCUGGUCACUCAGCAGCACACCCACAUCACAGGGGAAGAUCUUGAAAUACCUGGACAGUCUGAACACACUGCUCUGAAUACACUCAAUUCUAAGAAGUACCAGGGAACCGCAUCUUCUUGCUGAAAUCUUGAAUUUUUGUCAGCUUUUUUUUUUACUGUGGACAGUAAAGCUGGAAAGAUCUAAAUAACCCAACAGGAAAUGCCGAUGAAAGUGCAAGAGUUGGUUUGUGGUCAUCUGGAGUCCAUGUCUCCAAGACUGCUGGACCUUCAAAUUCUGCAACUUGUUAGAUCAUCUGGAUGAUAGCACAACUGUUAGAAGACCUAGAAGAAUACAGCGUUGCUGUGACUCAGUGGUGUUGAAUGCAGACCAUCUACCAGCUGGGGAAAGAAUCAAUUAUAAACAGGAAUAAAGGGAUUCAUUCCUCAUUUUAACUGAUGUUACAGUGAAGAUGGGUUCUUGAACUCUUGGAAGCCUGGAUGAGCCACCUAAUCUGCAAGAUAAAAACCAAAGACCAAUGCGUAUUGGGGAAAAGAAUGCUUAGUACUGCAAGACUGAAUGUUGAAUACCUGUUGAAUAUUCCUAUUGAGGUUUUUUCCUAAACAUACUUCAGUAACAUCUUAGGACAAUUCACUGGAGAAAUGUUGAUCCCUGG
Molecule: long non-coding RNA, 959 nt
Filed under: Pan troglodytes (chimpanzee)
Lineage: Eukaryota; Metazoa; Chordata; Mammalia; Primates; Hominidae
Description: long non-coding RNA NONPTRT014296
Source: RNAcentral